Molecule: long non-coding RNA, 782 nt
Filed under: Equus caballus (horse)
Lineage: Eukaryota; Metazoa; Chordata; Mammalia; Perissodactyla; Equidae
Description: lncRNA (ENSECAG00000059610.1)
Source: RNAcentral
AAAGAACCAAGCCCUGUGUGUGCCAACAGAAUAGUCACAAUAGUCACGGAUGCUGCAGCUGCCAGCAUGUAAGUUAACAAGAAGAGAGGCCAGGAGCCAUGAGUCAACAUUUGAGAACAUCCUGAGAAAGAGAAGAAUCACCUAGAAACCAGGUCCCUUCACUCAACACUGGAGAGCAUUUACAUAUUGCCCGAUAUCCAAAAAUCAACUUUUAAAAAAUAUUUUAAGGGGAAAAAAGGAAAGAUUCUCCACUAAUCGGAUAUCAGAUUACUUGGCAGCUACAAAGAGGGAUAAUUUUGAGUGUGGAAAGCUACCUGGUGACCCUCAAUCAGACCACAUGGAGACUCGCCAACAAGAAAGAACAGCCCUGGAAGCAUGUAGUAUCUAUUCAUAAAUUACUUGACUCUGAACUCUGGAUAUGGCAAUGAUUUUAGUGGUAGCCGUAAAUCAGACAAAUACCUGAAAAUGGAGAAAAUGGGGUUUACUGUCAGCAUGCCAAAAUCACUUUAAUCAAAUAAGGAAGCACAAUUUCAAUUGAUCGUUACUUUCAUAUUAGUUUUCUUCAUUCAUUGAUCCUAAGAAUGAAUAUAAAUGAUUCCCAAAACAUUGUUUACUUUUCUUACCAUCACUCAUUGAUAUAUUGAAGUCUGCAGAUGUCCUUUGAUUCUUGGUAGCUGUUAAUUAAGCAGGUGUUCAGUUCCUCUUCAGUCUGUCAACAGUCUGUCUCUUUCUUCCUUUCAUUCUACUUAGUCAAUAAAGUGAAAAUAUUCAAAGUAUGUGCU